GGUAGUGGUUAGUGGUUAGGCCACAGCGCUCUCACUGCAGCAGCCUGGGUUUGAUUCCCGGCCACCG
Pangasius djambal is the source of this 67-nucleotide non-coding RNA. The record is from the annotation of a GenBank genome assembly. Lineage: Eukaryota; Metazoa; Chordata; Actinopteri; Siluriformes; Pangasiidae.